GAAAACAUCAGAUGCAGUGUCUGGAUCAGCUCUAAGGAUUUGGCAGAUUGGUUCCCCUCAUGAUUCAGGAUGAAGUAAUUCAAGUCUUUGUUCACCAAGAGAUUACCCUGCACACCUGGGAAUUGAGUGGAGGGUGAAAGAGUCCCUCUUCUUCUGUUGAAUAUACAGAUCCAUAACACAGUAAUAGGAGCAUCUGACUGGGAGCGGAAGACCUGAGUUCUGCUCUCUGCUCCCCACUUCCUAAAAUUUUUGGUAAACAGGCCCCAAUUACAA
Molecule: long non-coding RNA, 273 nt
Organism: Corvus hawaiiensis (hawaiian crow)
Lineage: Eukaryota; Metazoa; Chordata; Aves; Passeriformes; Corvidae
Exons: 2
Source: RefSeq, a predicted model, not a curated record